This 473-nucleotide ribosomal RNA is filed under the name uncultured bacterium. RNAcentral describes it as "bacterial SSU rRNA". It matches the Rfam family "Bacterial small subunit ribosomal RNA", at positions 29 to 507 of the family's 1533-position model. The record is from RNAcentral.
AAUGAACGCUGGCGGCAUGCCUAACACAUGCAAGUCGAACGAGAUCUUCGGAUCUAGUGGCGCACGGGUGAGUAACGCGUGGGAACCUACCUUUUAGUACGGGGACAACGUGUGGAAACGCACGCUAAUACCGCGUACGCCCUAAGGGGGAAAGCAGGGGAUCUUCGGACCUUGCGCUAUCGGAUGAGCCCAAGUCGGAUUAGCUAGUUGGUGGGGUAAAGGCUCACCAAGGCGACGAUCCGUAGCUGGUCUGAGAGGAUGAUCAGCCACAUCGGGACUGAGACACGGCCCGAACUCCUACGGGAGGCAGCAGUUGGGAAUAUUGGACAAUGGGCGCAAGCCUGAUCCAGCCAUGCCGCGUGUGUGAAGAAGGCUCUAGGGUUGUAAAGCACUUUCAGUGGGGAGGAUAAGUUAUCGGUUAAUACCUGGUAAUGCAGACGUUACCCACAGAAGAAGCACCGGCAAACUCCGUG